Molecule: ribosomal RNA, 29 nt
Filed under: Cortinarius bulliardii
Lineage: Eukaryota; Fungi; Basidiomycota; Agaricomycetes; Agaricales; Cortinariaceae
Also listed under: 1 other name
Description: partial 28S ribosomal RNA
Source: RNAcentral
UGUGACCUCAAAUCAGGUAGGACUACCCG